RNAcentral lists this ribosomal RNA (394 nucleotides) under uncultured bacterium. Its description in RNAcentral is "bacterial SSU rRNA". It matches the Rfam family "Bacterial small subunit ribosomal RNA", at positions 524 to 916 of the family's 1533-position model. The record is from RNAcentral.
GACAGAGGUGGCGAGCGUUGUUCGGAUGGAUUGGACGUAAAGCGUACGCAGGCGAUGUGGUAAGUCAGAGGUGAAAGCCCACAGCUUCACUGUGGAAGUGCCUUUGAUACUGCCUUUCUAGAGUGCAUGAGGGGGAAGCGGAAUUCCGAGUGUAGAGGUGAAAUUCGUAGAUAUUCAGAGGAACACCGGUGGCGAAGGCGGCUUCCUUGCAUGUAACUGACGCUCAGGUACGAAAUCGUGGGGGGCAAACAGGAUUAGAUACCCUGGUAGUCCACGCCCUAAACGAUGGGCACUAGAUGUGGGACGUAUCGACCCCUUCCGUGCCGCAGCUAACGCAUUAAGUGCCCCGCCUGGGGAGUACGGCCGCAAGGUUGAAACUCAAAGGAAUUGACGG